CCUGAUGCAGCAACGCCGCGUGAGGGAUGACGGCCUUCGGGUUGUAAACCUCUUUUAGCAAGGAAGAAGCUUUCGGGUGACGGUACUUGCAGAAAAAGCGCCGGCUAACUACGUGCCAGCAGCCGCGGUAAUACGUAGGGCGCAAGCGUUAUCCGGAAUUAUUGGGCGUAAAGAGCUCGUAGGCGGUUUGUCGCGUCUGCUGUGAAAUCCCGAGGCUCAACCUCGGGCCUGCAGUGGGUACGGGCAGACUAGAGUGCGGUAGGGGAGAUUGGAAUUCCUGGUGUAGCGGUGGAAUGCGCAGAUAUCAGGAGGAACACCGAUGGCGAAGGCAGAUCUCUGGGCCGUAACUGACGCUGAGGAGCGAAAGGGUGGGGAGCAAACAGGCUUAGAUACCCUGGUAGUCCACCCCGUAAACGUUGGGAACUAGUUGUGGGGUCCUUUCCACGGAUUCCGUGACGCAGCUAACGCAUUAAGUUCCCCGCCUGGGGAGUACGGCCGCAAGGCUAAAACUCAAAGGAAUUGACGGGGACCCGCACAAGCGGCGGAGCAUGCGGAUUAAUUCGAUGCAACGCGAAGAACCUUACCAAGGCUUGACAUACACCAGAACAUCCCAGAAAUGGGGGACUCUUUGGACAC
Molecule: ribosomal RNA, 636 nt
Filed under: Microbacterium sp. So3Pt_78
Lineage: Bacteria; Bacillati; Actinomycetota; Actinomycetes; Micrococcales; Microbacteriaceae
Description: bacterial SSU rRNA
Rfam family: Bacterial small subunit ribosomal RNA
Source: RNAcentral